UAAGGUAUCUAUAAAUUGUGAGUAGGCCUGAAAACACUUUCAAUUUCAAAAAGAAAAGUAUCUAUUAUUUUGACUUUUGAUAAGAAGUUAAAAAAAUACCUGAAAAUGACACUGCAGUUGGAGCAGCUAUAAAGAAUUAAAUAGGGGUAUACAUGGCUUUGUAUUAGAGCACAGCCCUUCUAAUUGAUAGGUUAAAAAAUGAAGAACAAGUAGCAAUAGUGGCAUAUGAUAUAUUCAGAAAGAUUUAAAAGAUAUUCUUUUACCAAAUGGUGCAAAUGAAAGUAAGCUGUCAAACUGACAGCACAAUAAUGCCAUCUUCACAAUAGCACAUCCUGUACCACAGUGGAAAUUAUUUCAGUUUUACAGAGAAAUUAAAGAUACGUUCUGAGGAAAAAUAGCUGAAAUUUUUUUUGUUGUUGUUGCAAUUUUAGAAUCAUCAUUGCUUUCUAGAAUCCACUCCAAACAUAGCCAGAAGAAUAACCAUAAUAAAUCAUGAUAAUUUAUAUCAGCUUAUUUUGGGGAAGUAGCAUCAGAUACACUUCAUACUACUUACUCAAACUAUAAUUAUUUUCAUUAAACUAUAAAAUUGCUUACAGCAGAUUUACUCUAAACACAUAAAAUCAUAUCCUUAACAAUGAGCGCUUCUAGACCCUAAGUGUUCAAAAUAACUGAAAUCAAGUGUAAAAUAGCAGUCCUUGAUUUAUACUUUUUAAUUAUAUAUCUUUGUAGACAUAAUCAAUGUACUUUUGUGGGCUUAUAAUAUAUUCCUUUUUAUUUUGUUGAAACAUACGACAGGCUUAUUCAUUCUCCAUCCUGUUAAUUAAAAGGUAGUGUAAAAAGAAACUUAUGAAAAUGAUGUCAGGUGCCUAUUACCACAAACUCCCAAGUAGUUUGUGUCUGUCAAGAGUACAGAUUAAUCCAGAAAUGAAGGGUCUGGGGAAAAAGCUGAUAGGUUUUGUGCUUUGCAAAAUGGGGAGGUGAUAAGAAAGGUAGGUGAAUAACUGAAAAUUGAGGAGAUCUAAAUAUUACUCUACUGUGAGUAGUAUAGUAUUUCAUACAAAAUGAGGGCAAACUAAGAUAUUGAAAGCAAUAUAUCUGAAAUUGUAUGCCUUCCAAUAUUCUUGUUACCAAAAUAUAUAUUUACCAGCUGUC
RNAcentral lists this long non-coding RNA (1152 nucleotides) under Bos taurus (domestic cattle). RNAcentral's name for it is "long non-coding RNA NONBTAT011135". Lineage: Eukaryota; Metazoa; Chordata; Mammalia; Artiodactyla; Bovidae. The record is from RNAcentral.